RNA transcript from Alosa sapidissima (American shad), 3457 nucleotides. RefSeq lists it as uncharacterized. NCBI's taxonomy places the organism in Eukaryota, Metazoa, Chordata, Actinopteri, Clupeiformes, Clupeidae. The transcript is spliced from 20 exons. The record is from RefSeq and is a predicted model, not a curated record.
UUCGAAUGUAUUUCAUUUGUUUCUAUUAACGGUAUUAGAGCGUACAAGAUAUGAUACAUAGUAACAGUAUGAUUAUAUUCCCAAAAGGUUUCCGUUUCCAUGUCAAAUCCUCCAAUCAGAGUAGCCUAUUUAGCAUUAUCGUCUCAAUGUGUUGCUAUUUAUCCAUAUUGACUAUAAAGAUUGUUCAGACGGCAGUUGAGAAACGUUAUUAUGUCCUGAAAAAGAAGAGAAUGCUGGGAGGAUUGUCGAAACACCUGCGGCGGUGUAUUACGUCUUCUUGCAAACCUGGCCGUCAAGGUCCGUUCAGUGUGCACCCGCACGUGUCCCAGGCGGUGGCCGAGGGCAGACCGGUGGUGGCUCUGGAGAGUACCAUCAUUACACACGGGAUGCCUUAUCCUCACAAUCUGAGCACAGCUAAGGAGGUGGAGGCCAUAGUGCGGGCCCAGGGGGCCGUCCCUGCUACUGUGGGCGUGCUGAACGGAAAGGUGCAUGUGGGCCUGUCUGAAGAGGAGCUGGGCUUCCUGUCCCAAAGCAAGACUGCCCUCAAGGUGUCCCGCAGAGACUUGCCUUACGUCAUCAGCCAGGGUCUCUCUGGAGGGACGACCGUGUCUGGCACUAUGAUAGCGGCCCACAACGCUGGGAUUCCCGUCUUUGUGACUGGGGGGGUUGGAGGAGUACAUAGAGAUGGAGAAAACACUUUAGAUAUAAGUGCCGAUCUCACAGAACUCGGCCGUACGCCCAUCGCUGUAGUCUCUGCGGGGGUAAAGUCGAUCUUGGACAUCGGGCGCACCUUGGAAUUUUUGGAAACACAGGGAGUAUGUGUAGCCACAUAUGGGCAUUCAAAGAAUUUCCCAGCAUUCUUUUCUCCUCAGAGUGGGUACACAUCUCCAUACCAUGUUUCCAACCCUGAAGAGGCUGCUGAACUGAUAGGGGCCACUCUCGCCCUGGGGCUGGGGAGCGGGCUUCUGCUGGCCGUGCCCAUCCCAGAGGAGCACGCCGCUGCUGGGAAGGAGAUUGAAGAUGCCGUCCAGCGAGCUGUUGCAGAGGCCAACUCAAAAGGCAUUACUGGACGGGAAGUGACGCCGUUUAUCUUACAGAGGGUGAAUGAACUGACUCAAGGGAAAUCGCUUCAAGCUAACAUAGCUCUGAUUCAUAAUAAUGCCAAGGUGGGCAGCCAGAUCGCAUGCGCUCUGUCACAAUGCAGUCGGAGGAAAGAUGGCGUCCUGAGCAGGAAGGGCAAGAGGGAGACGAGCCUGGGCACCAAUGCUAUUGUUAUUGGUGGAGUGAAUGUGGACUUCCUUGCAAAAGGAAAAACAAAACAGUUACUGUUUGGUCAGACAAACCCAGGAAGUGUCUGUCAGUCAUUUGGAGGAGUUGGCAGAAAUAUUGCCGACUGUUUGAGUCGACUAGGCCAAGAAGCCCUCUUCAUCUCUGCUGUUGGAGCAGACUCACACGGUGAUGCUGUCCUCAACUACUGCAAGCAUAUGAACACCAGUGGAGUGGCACGAGUGAAGGACCAGAGGACGGCCACCUAUUGUGCGGUCCUCACGGAGAGCGGAGAGCUGAGCCUGGGCCUGGGCGAUAUGGACAUCCAUCAGCACAUCAAAGAGCAGUAUGUGUCCCGUUACGAAGAGCAACUCUCAGCUGCCUCUCUCGUGUGUGUCGAUGGGAACCUUCCUGUGUCCACCAUCAACUACGUUUGUUCCGUGGGCAACAAACAUUCUGUCCCAGUGUGGUUCGAGCCCACAGAUGCUGAUAAGGCCUGUAAGCCCUUCCUGUCUGACAGCUGGAAGGCUCUGACCUACACCUCCCCCAACCUCGCUGAGCUCUGCACCAUGAACCGCACGCUAGGCCUGCCGACUCCUACAGUGCUGCCGGAGUCCUUGGAGGAGUUGCUGAGCUGCGCUGCGUCUCUCUCUCGCCCCCUGCUGGAGCACCUGCAGUGUGUGGUGGUGACGCUGGGCCCAAUGGGAGUGCUGUUGUGUGGGGAGCAUGAAGCAGGCUCCGUCAACCUGCAGCCCAGGAGACACAGAAGGAAGGGACGUAUGUGUGCCCUUCACUACCCUGCUCUGGCCGUCUCCGCAGACGACACUGUGAAUGUGUCUGGAGCCGGUGACAGCCUUGCGGGGGGGAUGAUGGUGGGCAUUCUGCGGGGCUGGGACACUCACGCCUGCGUGCACAUGGGACUCCUGGCGGCACGGCUCUCCCUGGCCUCACCCCACCCCAUCGCCCCCAUGCUGACGCUCGACGUCGUCCACCCACUCAAGGCCCACCCCCAGCCGUGGCCCCAGCCCACCUGCCUGUGGAUGGAGGCGUGAGAGGGACACCGCACCGCUCCACACCGUCCCGUCUCCACCCGAGCAGCCUGACGUUCCCCUCUUUUCAGCAAGACUACAGUUCAUCCUUUGACCAGGUGUUCAACACCAUCCCAUCCCUCUGUGUCCUCCUCUUCAGCCUGAUGUUUGGAGGCAGCCCAGUCUGUCAGCUCUGCUCUGAUUAAACACGACACAAUAGUUUCAUCAGAACUUCACACUCAAAGAACUAAUGACUCUUUUACUCUUUUUUUUUUUUUCUCAUGCUAAAAGCUUUGAAACAACCCCAAGUUUCAGUAACACAGAACAGAUGAAACAAAUGGAAUUGAGCCAUGAGUAAUGCAUUGAGUCAGUCGAGUGAAGUACACACAAAUGUGUGACUUGUCAGUACCAGACAGAUGAAGGGCAGAUUGUUGUUACAGCUCAGCUCAUCCCAUAGGCCUCCAUUGCUCAUAUCUAUUGCUGUGCAGCCCUCUCCACUGCCGUAGUUGUCAGGUUUCCCAGACAUCCAGUACCGGAAGGAAGACAUUUGGCAUUUGUCUGACUGCUCCCAGCUAUCCUGGAAGAGGUCAGUCCAGUAUGUAUGUCCAUAUCCUUCCUUCUAUUUCCUUUUCAACUGUUGAGUUUGGAAUAGAAGCAAGGUCAGUGUAGCUUUCCCUGCAAUGUUGAGCUUGGGGCUAUGGCAUGGCAAUGUUUCCAACAGGUUUUGCGCCAUCACUCUCUCUGUGGUAAAGCAAAAUGCAAGAGGAGUAAGAGACGAGAUACAAGCGACAUAUUCCAGAAUACAACAGAAUACAGGCCUACACUGUACAUGUGGAGGGAACAGCUUGACAGGCCUACACUGUACAUGUGGAGGGAACAGCUGGACAGGCCUCUUAACUCUACAAGCAAUCUUGAAAAGAGGAUCUGGGAGUUGCAUUUGUUUUGAAUCCGAUUGUUUUGAAUAAGUACAUGAAAUGUAAAUGACAGCUCACCAAAUGCAAAUAAACACAUGCAAAAACCACAUAUGCAGCAAUUAAACACAAAUGCAAUAAUUAAAUAUUGCAGACAAUAAAUAUGUAUCAAUGUAAGUGCAAUUCAAAGUUGUUCAUGUUGAUGUGCAAAGUUACUCACCAUCGAAGCAAAAUAAAUCUUUUUGUUCUGAA